GCAUUUGGAAAUUAUAUGUUCAAGAUACAAGGCCAUCAUGCUCUAUUUUUGAGCUUUCGUUACAUUAUGGAAUUGAAACCUAAAUGUCUACAACAACAAAAAAACCUAAGGUUACUAAAAUGUUGAAACUUGCCAUCUUCGAGCCAUUCCAAGCUACCUUCAAGCCAUAUUUCUUCAUCACCAAAGAAAUUCAUCCUGCAACCAUGGUUCACUAGUAAGGACUUAAUGCUAAGCUUUAUCAUUAAGCCACCUUCUUCUCCAAUUUAACCUUCAAACAUGUCCAUUAUUAGCAAGAAUGACCUAGCAUUAAAAGAGACAAAAAAAUUUAAAAAAAGGAAAGAGAUCAAAAGUCAAUGCAAUGACAAAAUAACCAAGGCAGUGCAUUUUUGUAGUGUAAAGCAGUAAAAAAUCAAGCAAAAAAAAAACUGCAAAAAAUUCAAAAGAGUUCAAACAUCUCACCACAUGACCUAGUGCAAUCAACCUCACCAAUUUUAAAUCGGUUCACACAUCCCACUCAUUAUAAAAUUUGGGAGUUAUGAGGAAACAAAAUACGUGUGAGUUUCAUUGCAAUUUUCACUUGGCUCGUGUGGAAAUUCAGAUUUUUCUUCCUUUACUCCUGUGAAUUUUUUUUGAGAAAUACGUGAGCUGAAGAUUCGGAAUAAUUCCGUUGGAGAGGUUUGUUUGAAUCUCUGAUUUUAUGGGAUUGUUCUGUGAGUGGCUUGUGAAAUCAUCCUCUGCUGAAAAUGCUUUUUGGUGAUUGCUUGUACAUUC
This 771-nucleotide long non-coding RNA is filed under the name Lathyrus oleraceus (garden pea). RNAcentral's name for it is "Pisum sativum (pea) long non-coding RNA (PSAT_LNC037041)". The record is from RNAcentral. Lineage: Eukaryota; Viridiplantae; Streptophyta; Magnoliopsida; Fabales; Fabaceae.